Non-coding RNA from Equus quagga, 465 nucleotides. The record is from the annotation of a RefSeq genome assembly. Lineage: Eukaryota; Metazoa; Chordata; Mammalia; Perissodactyla; Equidae.
AUGGCGGUUGAAUUGUGUGUUGAUGUGGAGGUUAAAACGUUAGUUGUCAUUUGUAUUAUAGCUGGCGUGGGGAAUCACCUGAUUCAGCAUUCCAGCAAUACCCAGAGUGUUGAUCAACCUAAAAAAGAAGAGCAUAAAAGAGAAGGAGAAUCUGUGACCUUGGACUGCAGAAUCACAGUCAGUUAUGCUUACUAUGUGAUGUACUGGUAUCGACAGGCUUCCAGUGGAGAGAUGCCUCACAUCAUCUAUCUACUUUCUGACAGUAGAAAUUCAAGGCGAGGACGCUAUUCUGUGGUGUUUCAGAGACCAAACCUAAAGCUCACCAUCUCAGCCUUGACGCUUACAGACUCAGCCGUCUAUUUCUGUGCUGUUGCACAAGAUCCCACAGUGAGGCUAGUGAUGGGAAGAGCCUUACAAAAACCCCCAGGCCUCAGCAGGAGCCAGCCAGCUGCUCUAGGAGCAUAG